AAAAAAACCGAAUUGUCUCGCUGCCGGUUCGCCAUCGAGAUGGCGUUUCCGGUUGCGAGGUUUGGGUUAACCCCCCACAUUUUGUGCACUGUACAGUCUUUGGUGGUUGGGGUGAAAUUGUUCCCUUUCCGGGACUUUUCCACCCUGUCAGCCUUGGUCGGUUUCAGCGACCAGGGCCGUGGACAUGCCACCACAUGUUUUGUUGAUAAACAUCUGUGUUUUGUUGUGCCUGACAUUUACAUGUUUGUUGAAAACACAUUCAAA
This 264-nucleotide unclassified non-coding RNA is filed under the name uncultured fungus. Its description in RNAcentral is "sequence contains ITS1". Lineage: Eukaryota; Fungi. The record is from RNAcentral.